This 498-nucleotide ribosomal RNA is filed under the name uncultured bacterium. RNAcentral describes it as "partial 16S ribosomal RNA". It matches the Rfam family "Bacterial small subunit ribosomal RNA", at positions 30 to 523 of the family's 1533-position model. The record is from RNAcentral.
AUUGAACGCUGGCGGCAUGCCUUACACAUGCAAGUCGAACGGUAACAGGUCUUCGGAUGCUGACGAGUGGCGAACGGGUGAGUAAUACAUCGGAACGUGCCUAGUAGUGGGGGAUAACUACUCGAAAGAGUGGCUAAUACCGCAUGAGAUCUACGGAUGAAAGCAGGGGAUCGCAAGACCUUGUGCUACUAGAGCGGCCGAUGGCAGAUUAGGUAGUUGGUGGGAUAAAAGCUUACCAAGCCGACGAUCUGUAGCUGGUCUGAGAGGACGAUCAGCCACACUGGGACUGAGACACGGCCCAGACUCCUACGGGAGGCAGCAGUGGGGAAUUUUGGACAAUGGGCGAAAGCCUGAUCCAGCAAUGCCGCGUGCAGGAUGAAGGCCUUCGGGUUGUAAACUGCUUUUGUACGGAACGAAAAGCCCUGGGUUGAUACCCUGGGGUCAUGACGGUACCGUAAGAAUAAGCACCGGCUAACUACGUGCCAGCCGCCGCGGUAA